GAUGAAGAACGUAGCGAAAUGCGAUAAGUAAUGUGAAUUGCAGAAUUCAGUGAAUCAUCGAAUCUUUGAACGCACAUUGCGCCCGCUAGUAUUCUGGCGGGCAUGCCUGUUCGAGCGUCAUUUCAACCAUCAAGCCCUGUUUAGGCUUGUGUUGGGGCCCUGCGGUUGCCGCAGCCCCCUAAAUGCAGUGGCGGGCUCGUUGUCACUCCGAGCGCAGUAGCGUAUCUCGCUCUGGGCGUGGCGGCGGGUGCUAGCCGUGAAACCCCCCACUGUAACCCCAAAGGUUGACCUCGGAUCAGGUAGGAAUACCCGCUGAACUUAAGCAUAUCAAUAAGCGGAGGA
RNAcentral lists this unclassified non-coding RNA (342 nucleotides) under soil metagenome. RNAcentral's name for it is "partial contains 5.8S ribosomal RNA, internal transcribed spacer 2, and large subunit ribosomal RNA". The stretch from base 1 to 120 matches the Rfam family "5.8S ribosomal RNA", at positions 35 to 154 of the family's 154-position model. The record is from RNAcentral.